RNAcentral lists this ribosomal RNA (521 nucleotides) under Clostridioides difficile. Its description in RNAcentral is "bacterial LSU rRNA". It matches the Rfam family "Bacterial large subunit ribosomal RNA", at positions 390 to 912 of the family's 2925-position model. Lineage: Bacteria; Bacillati; Bacillota; Clostridia; Peptostreptococcales; Peptostreptococcaceae. The record is from RNAcentral.
AAGACUUUAGAUAUGAUCCAGAGUACCACGGGACACGUGAAACCCUGUGGGAAGCAGGAGGGACCACCCUCCAAGGCUAAAUACUACCUAGUGACCGAUAGCGUAUAGUACCGUGAGGGAAAGGUGAAAAGAACCCCGGGAGGGGAGUGAAAUAGAACCUGAAACCCUGCACUUACAAGCUGUGGAAGCACAUUUCUUGUGUGACCGCGUACUUUUUGUAGAACGGGCCAACGAGUUACGUUAAGUAGCAAGGUUAAGCACUUAAGGUGCGGAGCCGUAGCGAAAGCGAGUUUUAACUGAGCGUUCAGUUACUUGACGUAGACCCGAAACCGGGCGACCUACCCAUGAGCAGGAUGAAGCGAAAGUAAAAUUUCGUGGAGGUCCGAACCCACGGGCGUUGAAAAGCUCGGGGAUGACUUGUGGGUAGCGGUGAAAUUCCAAUCGAGCCCGGAGAUAGCUGGUUCUCCCCGAAAUAGCUUUAGGGCUAGCCUCAAGGUGAGAGAUACGGAGGUAGAGCACUG